Cyprinus carpio (common carp) is the source of this 470-nucleotide long non-coding RNA. RefSeq lists it as uncharacterized. NCBI's taxonomy places the organism in Eukaryota, Metazoa, Chordata, Actinopteri, Cypriniformes, Cyprinidae. The transcript has 3 exons. The record is from RefSeq and is a predicted model, not a curated record.
CAGAGGGUCCAAACACUGCAGCUGACUUCUGAUUCACCAGAGACAGCCUUACAGGAGAAAUGGUCAGAUAGCAAAUAUUGCCAUUCUUCUGGAAAACUGCUGGUCUUUAAAGAACAGUCAUCAAUCAGGAUCCUCUGUUCCCAGACCCAACCAUUCAUCUGAAGGACUGUGAAAAUAUGAACCCUUUGAACCACCGGUGACAACUUCUACAUGAUAAAUAGAAAGGACAUGACAGAGGAUGAUAUGGGUAUUGAUAUUUCACUGAAAUUAAAUAUCAUUUAAUUACAUUUAGUCUGCUAGUCAGAAUUAUAGCUUAUUAAAUAAAAAUAAAUAGUGGUUCAUGUUUGAUUUGGGAUAGUGGUUCACGAGUCCUUUGUCCUGAACAGUUUAAAUGGCUGCUUUUCUUCAGAAAAACCUCCAGAUCCUUCACUUUCUCAGGUUUUCCAGCAUCUUUUGCAUAUUUGAACCCU